Long non-coding RNA from Lemur catta (Ring-tailed lemur), 947 nucleotides. RefSeq lists it as uncharacterized. The record is from RefSeq and is a predicted model, not a curated record. The transcript is spliced from 3 exons. Lineage: Eukaryota; Metazoa; Chordata; Mammalia; Primates; Lemuridae.
UUCUCAGUUGGCUAUUUUCUCAAUCUCGUCCAAAUCAUCUGUGUCCAAUCUUUCUAUCUUCUUAUCUGGGGGGAAAAAAUACACAGGUCUCUGCCCUGCCUAGGCACAUCCACACCUCGGGCCAUAGCAGCCUUCACGUAGCCCCAAAGGCUCCCAGUGCCUGAGCAGGGGCAAUAGGGCCCCGGUCACUGACGGCAACAGUCAGAGCCACGGGGGCAGUGCCAUUUGAGUCCCUGCCCCCUGAACCCUCCGGGUGUGCUCCCUGAGCACUUCCAUACAGUAGGAAAGGUGCGGGGGGGGGGGGGGGGGGGGCGGCGUGUGCUCAGGGACAACGGCCUCUCUCGGGGCUACAGGAAAACCUGCCCCUUUCCCAAGCCCUGCUCCUCAGGAAAGGGUGCUGGGCCGCGGACCCUCCCAGGGACUCACUAAAAUGCUCCUGGAUCCGGUUCAGGAUGUUCAUGCUGUGCUUGCUGUCCACCAUGUUCACGGCCAGGCCCCUCUUGCCAAAGCGGCCGGUGCGUCCGAUCCGGUGCAGGUAGGUCUCGUUGUCCGGGUUCCCGUCCUUGUCCACGGGAAGAUCAAAGUUGAUGACGACAGAGACUUGUUCCACGUCGAUGCCUGCGUGAAGGAGAGUGGGAAACACAGAGGACUGAGGACGGCAGACAAAAACCAUCAUUGUCCACAGGUGCAGUGAAUUAUGGCAGCAGUGAGAAAGCCUCUGGUAGGCACAAGUAUCUGGAGCUGGGUGCCCAGGAAGAGCAGACUCCAUCCUCUACCAGUCAGAUGCCCGUACGUUUCCUUCCACAAGGCAGACUCCUGGCUUCUGUGGCCUGGGACCCUGAGCCUAGCAGACAAAAACACACUGUCUGCUCACCGCGGGCACACACAUUGGUGGUCACCAGAACUUUCUCUUUGCCCUCUCGGAAGCGCUCAAUCACUGCAGCCCU